This 818-nucleotide ribosomal RNA is filed under the name uncultured organism. Its description in RNAcentral is "bacterial SSU rRNA". It matches the Rfam family "Bacterial small subunit ribosomal RNA", at positions 14 to 846 of the family's 1533-position model. The record is from RNAcentral.
UGAUCCUGGCUCAGGACGAACGCUGGCGGCGUGCUUAACACAUGCAAGUCGAGCGGAGAUGCAUUUAUGUAAUCUUAGCGGCGGACGGGUGAGUAACGCGUAGGCAACCUGCCUUGCACAGAGGGAUAACACCAGGGAAACUGGUGCUAAUACCACAUGAUAUCAUAACAAGGCAUCUUGAAAUGAUCAAAGGAGAAAUCCGGUGCAAGAUGGGCCUGCGUCCGAUUAGUUAGUUGGUGAGGUAACGGCUCACCAAGGCGACGAUCGGUAGCCGAACUGAGAGGUUGAUCGGCCACAUUGGGACUGAGACACGGCCCAGACUCCUACGGGAGGCAGCAGUGGGGAAUAUUGCGCAAUGGGGGGAACCCUGACGCAGCAACGCCGCGUGAAGGAAGAAGGCCUUCGGGUUGUAAACUUUUUUGAUUGGGGAAGAAAAAAAUGACGGUACCCAAGGAACAAGCCACGGCUAACUACGUGCCAGCAGCCGCGGUAAUACGUAGGUGGCGAGCGUUGUCCGGAAUUACUGGGUGUAAAGGGCGUGUAGGCGGGAUUGUAAGUCAGAUGUGAAAUUCCAGGGCUUAACUCUGGAGGUGCAUCUGAAACUAUAAUUCUUGAGUGCUGGAGAGGAAAGCGGAAUUCCUAGUGUAGCGGUGAAAUGCGUAGAUAUUAGGAAGAACACCAGUGGCGAAGGCGGCUUUCUGGACAGUAACUGACGCUGAGGCGCGAAAGCGUGGGGAGCAAACCAGGAUUAGAUACCCUGGUAGUCCACGCUGUAAACGAUGGAUACUAGGUGUAGGAGGUAUCGACCCCUUCUGUGC